AUACGGCCAUAUCACGUUGAAACACAUGUUUUUGUCCGAUCCUCGAAGUUAAGCAACGUUGAGCUUGGUCAGUACCUAGAUAGAUGACUAUUUGGGAAUAACAGGGUCUGUA
Molecule: non-coding RNA, 112 nt
Organism: Acanthosepion pharaonis
Lineage: Eukaryota; Metazoa; Mollusca; Cephalopoda; Sepiida; Sepiidae
Source: the annotation of a GenBank genome assembly